GAUGAAGAACGUAGCGAAAUGCGAUAAGUAAUGUGAAUUGCAGAAUUCAGUGAAUCAUCGAAUCUUUGAACGCACAUUGCGCCCGCCAGUAUUCUGGCGGGCAUGCCUGUCUGAGCGUCAUUUCAACCCUCAGCCCCCGCUCGCGGGGCGCUGGCGUUGGGGAUCGGCCGUCCUCGCGGCGGCCGGCCCCGAAACACAGUUGCGGUCUCUCGCGGACUCCCCUGCGUAGUAGCACUACCUCGCAGAAGGGACGAGCGGGCUGACCACGCCGUAAAACCCCCCACUUCUCCAGGUUGACCUCAGAUCAGGUAGGAAUACCCGCUGAACUUAAGCAUAUCAAUAAGCGGAGGA
This 351-nucleotide unclassified non-coding RNA is filed under the name soil metagenome. Its description in RNAcentral is "partial contains 5.8S ribosomal RNA, internal transcribed spacer 2, and large subunit ribosomal RNA". The stretch from base 1 to 120 matches the Rfam family "5.8S ribosomal RNA", at positions 35 to 154 of the family's 154-position model. The record is from RNAcentral.